RNA transcript from Helianthus annuus (common sunflower), 2486 nucleotides. RefSeq lists it as uncharacterized. The transcript is spliced from 5 exons. The record is from RefSeq and is a predicted model, not a curated record. Lineage: Eukaryota; Viridiplantae; Streptophyta; Magnoliopsida; Asterales; Asteraceae.
ACUACAAGAAAGGUGGCCUUUUAGCGACGACCCCUUUAGCGGCGACAACAAAUAAGUCGUCGCUAAAAGCCCAAUCCGUGUCCAGGCUUUAAAACCAAUCCCUGAUCGUUGAUCUUGGGUACAUCUGACGGUCCAGGUUUUAUUUAACUUUAGGAGUACAAAACCUAUGGCGGGCAAACCAUUCACUCAUUCCCCCCCAAAUCGAUCCACUGGCACUCCCGCCAAAUCGAUCCAUGAGCCCUCCCCCAAAUCCCACGGUGCUGCCAGAUUGCUUCAACCCGGCGACAGCCGUCGCUCGCCGCCACGACCUGCAGCCUUCGGAGUCAACUUACCUCCUCAGUCGCUCGCGCGCCGCACCUCGUCCGCUGCACCAGAUUUUAAAGUCAAAUAAUGUUGGGUACAGCGUUGAGAGGGGGGAUGUUGAGAUAAUGAGAGGGCAUGGCUGAAAUUGUGUGCUUGGUAUAAGGUAGCAUCGUCAAAGAUUUGGUGAGCCCUUCUUAUCUAUGGCUUCUUAUCCUAAUAAUAAUUAAGAAACUCUCUAAAGGUUAUUGCCUUUUCAUCUUUUUUGUUUUUUGAAAUAUUUGGUGUAUAUUUUUAAAGAUACCUUUUUUGGUGAAUUUUAGGUUAAAGGAGUUUGCUUUUGAUUGAUACAUGCUCUUUUGGUGUGUAAGUUAUGUGGUUUCUAGGAUGGAUAAGAUUAGGGGUGAAUUGUUUUGAGCUACUAGUUGGUUCCUGUUAUGGUUUUUAUUUGAAUAGAAGGGUGUUAAAUUGGUCAAUUGCUUGGGCACUUUACUAGAAAAUUAGAAAAGAAAGUAAUACAGAGGAGACCGAUUUGGGUUAGGUGUAGCACUAGUACUGAAGCAGAAGUUAAAAGUUUUAUUUAUGUAACGUUUUUGGGCUAAUAAAUGGACACUCACAUACCCUUCUGCUUAGUUGUUUAGAUGCUCGCUGAACGUUUUGAGGUUUAUUAUUGACUUUGGUUAAUUGUUCUUAAAAACUAAUUGGCAAAAAAGAGCACAAAUAGGAUCUCUAUGAGUGAAAUGAAGCUCCCUUUUAUGACUUUGGUUAACUGUUCUUGAAAUGAAGCUUCCCUUUAUGAUGUUUUUUGGGAUAAAAACCAUAUUUACUUUUGAAUUCAAUAGUAUGUUUUCUAGGGAUAACUGAGCUAUGCCCAACGAUAUCUUGUUACUUUUAGUGGCAACGGUGGUCUAUGUUGUCAAAGACGCAAGGCGCACGCGAGGCGCAUCGGCCUUGCCCGGAGCCUAGGCGCAAGGCGCAAAAAAGUGUGGGCUUUUUAAAGAAAAGCGUACAUAGAGCAAAAUAUAAAAAUGUGUUUCUUAGCUGGAAUUUGGUUGAACUCGUGCGUGCCCACACGUCCUGCGGACACGAAUGCAGCUCCAAAAACACGGGCCAGCGUGAGGCAGUUUUUGCACGCACUCGGUUUCGUUUUUUUUUUCAGUUUUUCUGCUUAUCCACUGCGCCUCAACACCGUUUUUGCGCCUAGGCGCGCGCCUUUUUGCGCCUCAGCAACGUUUUUUUUUCAAAAAAACCCGUUUUUGCGCCUAGGCUACCACCAGGCGCUAUAGGUGCGCCUCGCUGCGCCCGGGCGCCUAGGCACACGCUUUUUGCGCUUUUGACAACAUAGACGGUUGUUAGUGCAUAUCACAUUUUAGCAAUUACUCUCUUUAUUAGGGUUCAGAAACAUAUAAUAGUAUCAAGUUUCUCUAGGAAAGAAAGUGCUUUCGGAUGCAUGGACUUUGGAUACCGCUCAAAAACUGUAUGAAUGGCUGAGGCUGAAUACAGAAGGAGAUAAACCUUCAGCUAGAAUGUAUGCUACAGCUGGUGCUCGCUCGGAUGGUAUGUUUUUGCUUUGUGGUGGAAGAGACACUUCAGGCGUGGUAGGACUUAGCGUUUAUGUGUAUGUUUUAUAGCGUUUAUGUGUAUGGACUCUUGCACCUGGAGUUUCACCGUCAUCAAGGUACCAACAUGCUGCGCCUGACAGGGUUACAGACAUCUGUAAUAGAAACAAACUUUAGUUGAUUAUAAGAGCACACGAAUGUGUAAUGAAUGGGUUCGAGCGAUUUGUUCACGGACAGUUAAUUACCCUUUUCUCUGCGACAAACUAUUGUGGGACUGCUAAUAAUGCUGGACCUUUACUAGUGAUCGGCAGGGGAUUGGUGUUUGUUCCAAAACUGAUUCACCCGUUGCCACCACCACUUGAACCAGAAACAUCUCCAAAAUCUGUUGAAGAGCGCCACUAGAUGCAGGUAAUGAUUUUUGGCUUUUUGAAGAAAAGAGGGUCGAUCCAAACAAAAUCUAUUUGAUUUCUAUCUUUCUAUUUGUCAAACUACAAAUGUUUGUCGUCCCCGCCACAACACGCGGGUUGAAAGCACUAGUUACUACCGUUUUAAUAUAGUGAUAUAAACAAACUGCUAUGUAAUUUUUGGUUGUUUGAAUGUGAAUUACUGUUUAAUUCUUUGUAUACU